GGAUGUGAGGGCAAUUUGGCUGUGAUAUCGGUCACCCCACUGGCUGUCAGGGUUGAUUUGGCUCAUCUGGCUGGCUAGGCAGGUGUCCCCUUCCUUUCUCAGUGCUCCAUGUGCCUCUCUCCAGAAACUGCAUGCUUGGUGAAGGAGGAUGGCCUUCCCCGAAGAGAGACAGACAGGACUUUGGUCGAGGGUAUAUGAGUAGCUGCACUCCCCUGCUAGAACCUCCAAACAAGCUGUCAAGAAUUGGUGGGUCAUAAUAGAAUUUGUAAUAGUCUUCACAAUAAAGUCUUAUUUGUAAAUUUUGUGCAAUAAACACAUCUU
Molecule: unclassified non-coding RNA, 321 nt
Organism: Erinaceus europaeus (western European hedgehog)
Lineage: Eukaryota; Metazoa; Chordata; Mammalia; Eulipotyphla; Erinaceidae
Gene: 7SK
Rfam family: 7SK RNA
About the family: 7SK was discovered as an abundant small nuclear RNA in the mid-70s but a possible function has only recently been suggested. Two independent studies have found that 7SK RNA binds the CDK9/cyclin T complex (known as elongation factor P-TEFb).
Source: Ensembl